AUGUUAGUGCAGAGAAUAUUGCUGCACGAUUCAUUAUUCAUUACGUGACGCUGAAACUGAGUUAGUAGGACAAUCGAUUUCUCAUCAAGGAUUUGCAUACAUGGUUUCAUCCAUUUACCAUUAAAAAAAUGAAAGAAUGUUGUAAUACCAGUUCGAUCCAGUUCCAUUAGACUGACGUUUUGUUUAAUAUUGCAUGGUGAAAUAUCGCUCGUGAUAGAAUUAAUCGAGCGCUUCUC
RNAcentral lists this long non-coding RNA (236 nucleotides) under Mytilus galloprovincialis (Mediterranean mussel). Lineage: Eukaryota; Metazoa; Mollusca; Bivalvia; Mytilida; Mytilidae. The record is from RNAcentral.